This 292-nucleotide ribosomal RNA is filed under the name uncultured bacterium. Its description in RNAcentral is "partial 16S ribosomal RNA". It matches the Rfam family "Bacterial small subunit ribosomal RNA", at positions 505 to 796 of the family's 1533-position model. The record is from RNAcentral.
GUGCCAGCCGCCGCGGUAAUACAGAGGGUGCAAACGUUGCUCGGAAUUAUUGGGCGUAAAGCGCGUGUAGGCGGCUUGUUAUGUCGGUCGUGAAAGCCCACGGCUCAACCGUGGAAGUGCAACCGAAACUGGCAAGCUUGAGUCCUGACGAGGAUGGCGGAAUUCCCAGUGUAGAGGUGAAAUUCGUAGAUAUUGGGAGGAACAUCGGUGGCGAAGGCGGCCAUCUGGGAAGCGACUGACGCUGAGACGCGAAAGCGUGGGGAUCAAACAGGAUUAGAUACCCCCGUAGUCC